This 253-nucleotide ribosomal RNA is filed under the name uncultured bacterium. RNAcentral describes it as "partial 16S ribosomal RNA". It matches the Rfam family "Bacterial small subunit ribosomal RNA", at positions 524 to 776 of the family's 1533-position model. The record is from RNAcentral.
UACGUAGGGUGCGAGCGUUGUCCGGAAUUACUGGGCGUAAAGAGCUCGUAGGUGGUUUGUCGCGUUGUCCGUGAAAACUCACAACUCAAUUGUGGGCGUGCGGGCGAUACGGGCAGACUGGAGUACUGCAGGGGAGACUGGAAUUCCUGGUGUAGCGGUGGAAUGCACAGAUAUCAGGAGGAACACCGGUGGCGAAGGCGGGUCUCUGGGCAGUAACUGACGCUGAGGAGCGAAAGCAUGGGGAGCGAACAGG